CAAAGUGUAGCUUAAACUAAAGCACCUAGUUUACACCUAGAAGAUAUCACACAAAAUGAUCCCUUUGAU
This 69-nucleotide transfer RNA is filed under the name Kerivoula papillosa (papillose woolly bat). RNAcentral's name for it is "tRNA-Val". It matches the Rfam family "tRNA". From Rfam's summary of the family: Transfer RNA (tRNA) molecules are approximately 80 nucleotides in length. The record is from RNAcentral. Lineage: Eukaryota; Metazoa; Chordata; Mammalia; Chiroptera; Vespertilionidae.